AAUAAGAUAAUUCAAAACAUCACAAAUUAUGCCUCUUUCGAUCACAUAAACAAGUGAAUAUAUAUGCAACAAUAAAAAUACCCAAAACGCUUCAAUACAUAAAACUAGAGUUAAUCUCCACAAACAAUUAUGAAAAUAUCAAAUCCAUCAAUCCCUAAGGAAGAAUUACUCCAUAUAUAUGGAGAAUUUCAUCACAACUAAGUUUAAGUCAAAGGAAAACAUAAAACAUCCAAACCCUUGUCUUGAGUGAGGAUAAAUGGUGAAAUUCUUGUACUUUUGCUUCUCCUCUCCUCCUUAGCUUCCUUAGGUCUAUAUUAUGUCAAAAGUCCUCAAAAUACCAUUUUUCUAUAUAUAUAUAUAUAUACCAAGUUGGGUUGGGCCCAAACAACUACACCUUCUCCUACGCGAAAAAGGACACUUUUUCGGAGUUGGACGUGCGCAGCCGUGCACUUGGAUGUGUGCCCGCGCACUUGGCUGCGCACUUUUCACACUGUUCUGCCCCAUAAGCACGGUCAGUGCACGGUCGCGCACUUUCCACACACUUUUCACCCUGUUUCAUUGGGAAAUUGAAAGAAUGUAAAACAUGAAAGUUGUAGCCCUUUGAAUUAACUUUCCAACAGUAUAUUGUGGAACCCAAACGGAGUUUUGAGAAAAACGUUAUAUGCAUUUUACUAGACUCUGCACAAUAUGCCUGCUCGAUUCUUCGUUCGUUCUUAACUAUCAUCCGUUGAUCCCCGAACACGAUCCCGACUUAAUUUCUUGGGCUUUUACUCAGACGUCAAAGCUCCAAAUCACUUGAAUUUAUUUCAUAACAUCUACAUAGCUCGAAAUCACUCCUACAAGAUAAAACACACAAUUAAUAUAAAAUACUAGCGAUUAAAGCUCAAACUCAACUAAAGUGCAGUAAAUUGGAAUGUAAUAAUCGACUAAAACAUGAGAUUGUAGCCUACCAUCAGAGGCUUGCCUUCUUCUCAUCUCUUUAAGCGCUAGAAGAAGUAUAAUCAUAUAUAUACUCAACAAAUAAGCUUUCCUCCUCCAAUAUGGGACAAUGUAAAUGAGGAAAAAUCAAAAUUUUAUUUUUCUAUCCAUUUCUCAUUCACCUCUAUUUUGAACAAAAAAACCCAACAUAAAUAGCCAUUAAACUUAUUCUUUUGUCUGAAUACAUACACAACCCCUCCAACUUGUCCGAUUUCUUUUCGUUUAGACACUUAAAUUAAUCAUUGUUCCUAUUGAGCAUUUGAAAAUUCAAGCGUAUCUAUCAUUGAACUGCUCGGGCUCAAUACUAUCAUUGUGGUAAUCGAAAUGGCUCAUUAGUAUCCUCCAUUUGCAAACUAACUCAUCAAACUAACUCAUCAGUCCCCUUGCCGUUAAUCAAGUGGCCUAUUACAAUCCUUUAGCACUAACAGGUCUUUUAAAGGCCAAUUUUAUUUUCCUGAAAAUUUUACAGUUUGACAUGUGUCACAUUAAACUACCCUCUUUAAUAUUUUUUUAUCAGCCCCCCACCCACUUAUUUACCCACCCUCCCCAUCCCUUUUAACAGUUCCACCAACACAUAUUACAUAUUGUUGCAACCAACAACAAAAACCCCAAAACAGAUUAACUAAUUACUAUUCGUUUUUAACUUCAAAAUUUACUUCAACAACAAUGUAACAAUGAGUCCAACCAAGCAACCACAUAAGACACAUAAUUCAUUGUUGCGUUACUGUUUUCCUCAAGAUUGCUAUAGUUCUAGCAUCAGUAGCAACAACAACUUCAAAAUCAUCCAAUUUCUUUUUCAAAAUAUUCCUCUCAAAUACUUUUUGACUCAAUUUGGUUAUAGUUUGAGCCUCAACAGCAGCAGCAACAUCAUAGUCAUCCAUUUUCUUCUUCAAAUGAUUUCUUUCAACUACAACAACAUCCAAUUUAUUUUUAAGACUGCUAAUCAAAUUUACAACUCUCGAAGGUAAUUCAUCAUCCUCGCAUUUAAAAUAACCACAUGUUGUCUUAUGUCAAAAACAAAAAUACAAAAAAUUAACAUAAACAGUCCAUGACUAGAUAAACAAAUUGCCAAAAAAUAAUCAAAGAAACUAACUUACAUCAGAUUUUGAGCACUUAAAAAAUCCCUACCGGCCAGGAGUAUAAGCCGUAAAAUGGAAGGCAACAAAACUGCAGUAACACCUCCUUUUCGACCUAACAAAAGCACUAGAUCAAUCGGACAUAUUUAAUCUCACUUGGAAUUGAAGAAGCGAAAUUUUAAAACAAACCUAUAGAAGAAGAUUGGUUACCGAAUUUAGAACCCUAGAAGAGAAAAUUUGGUGAAAUCGAUUGUUUUGAUUAGGUAAAAAAUGGUUGUUAAAAGGGUUGGGGAGGGUGGGUAAAUAAGUAAGUGGGUGGGGGCCGGUAAAAAAACUUUUAAAAGGGGUGGUUUAAUGUGACACGUGUUAAGCAGGGAAAUUUUCGGGAAAAAAAUAUAGCUUUUAAAAGACCCGUUAGUGCUAAA
RNAcentral lists this long non-coding RNA (2479 nucleotides) under Nicotiana tabacum (common tobacco). RNAcentral's name for it is "long non-coding RNA (NTAB_LNC013748)". Lineage: Eukaryota; Viridiplantae; Streptophyta; Magnoliopsida; Solanales; Solanaceae. The record is from RNAcentral.